AGUGGAGUAGGGCAAUAAGUGGCUCGUCGGACUCAUAACCCGAAGGUCACUGGUUCGAGUCCAGUUCCCGCUA
This 73-nucleotide transfer RNA is filed under the name Flaviramulus basaltis. It matches the Rfam family "tRNA". Rfam says of the family: Transfer RNA (tRNA) molecules are approximately 80 nucleotides in length. Lineage: Bacteria; Pseudomonadati; Bacteroidota; Flavobacteriia; Flavobacteriales; Flavobacteriaceae. The record is from Rfam by way of RNAcentral.